AACACCAUCUAGGUCACAACAUGACUAAAAAUGGAAUCAGUUGCUGAAAGGGAGGGUUUUGCUUCUAAUUCCUACCGUUCAUACAUGUAUAAAGUAAAGACAUACGUGAUGAACAGAACGGUUCACUGUUCUGUGGAAGAAAGACAAUUCAGCUUUGUUGAACUUCACGCACGAUAUUGCUGAAGAAGCCAUUACUGCUGUGUCCAGGAAACUGAAUAAAGAUGGGAAAGAAGUGGGCACCAAUGGGAUUGCGGAAUUUUAUCCAAUAAGCGAGGGCAUAACAACAGCUGACAAAAUUAAAGCUAUACUUACAAACGGUCCUCUCAUCUGAAAAACAAGGAUCAGGGGCUAAACCUUCCCAGAUUUUCCUGGACAUUUUUGUCAAAUUUCUCUGUGAGGCCUCAUGAGUUUUCUCAUACAAUUAUCAUAAACUCUCAUCCAAUGCUAGCCUGAAUCUCCCACUUGCCAUAACUGGGAGCAGUCACCACUGCCAGGAUAUCAUGGGAUAUCCUGGGAUUCCUGGGUGAGCACUAUAUUUAAAAGGCUGUUGCACACCCAGUCACGCCUGGCAGUCCACAGCUGUCCUGAAUGGCUGUAGACAUUUUCGCCAAAUAUGGCAGACAAGGGGAAACCUGGUGCUCUAUUAUGGGGACAGCAGCCUGAAGAUCCUGCUGGAUAACAUGGUUCAGAAGGAGGUCAUCUUCUUCCCUCAGGACUGGCAGAUGAAGCCAUAACACCAGAUCCUCUGCCAGCCUGGUCCACUGCAGUCUGCACAGCCCAGAAAAAUACCGAGCAAUGCAGGAAAGUGGUCAAUUGCCUUCUCCAUUCUGCCAGGGUAAAUACCACAAUCUGCUCUCUGUUACCUCACACUCUCUUUUUCUGCUACUGCACUAACCUCCCAUGAAGUCUCAUGCUCUACCACUCUCACUAUUGCUUUCAAAGUUUUCUUUCACACAACCUCGCCAAGCCCCAACGCCCCACAUUUGUCAAUCUGCAUGCCCUCUAGGCUGUUUACACACUCACUUGGAUCACUUCAACUUCCCCACACCUACACUUGUACUAACAGCUGUGCCACCUACUUUCACCUUAUCCAAUCUCUCAUUCCAGGAGAAAACAGCCUACAAUAGGGCUGAAAGAGCAGGGGCUGGAUAUUCAUCUCCUCAAUCACUUUGAGGAAAAGAUCUUGGCCCUGGCAUCCUAAGGGGAUGCAAAAAUCUCCUUGUGUCUUGAAAUCAAAUACCACCAGGAGUUCCAUGGUGACUUUAGUAAAAAGGGCUGCUGCACAAGACUUAUCCUCCUCCACCUCUAAGGAAGAGAGCACAGAGGAAACACUGAGAAGGCUGUCUCCAGCAUCCCCCACCAGCUUAGCUACUGAAGCCUUGGUGAGGAAGAAAGGCCCAGGCUGCUGGCACUGGGAGGACUGGCAGAGACCAGGCACCUGCUCAGGCCCAGGCAGGCGAGGACCGUGUGGGUUUCACCCAUUAGAGGCUUCAUACAAAUGCACAAGCAAACACAGCGCCAACAGGAAGAUUUGUCAGGAACACCGGGAAACUGAACACAAAAGGUUGCAGCACCACUCGGGCAUGAGAUUGUCAGGCUACCUCCAGAGAUGCCAGACCCUUGGUUUGCUGAAUAUGUGCAGAUCUGCACUUCAUUGCUCUAGCCAUUAGCGCUUAACACUAAUGACAUGGCAGCUAUGAGGGGAGAAAUUAGAGACCUUUACUUCAGUUAAGGUGCCACUUUCUCACAAGGAGGCAGGGUAAUGGCAGCAGGCAUGCAGCUGGUGGAAGAACCACAUACACGCCUCCCAGAGGUCUCCUCACAGGACAGUCCAGAGAUGACCAGGCCUUCUACUUCCACGCUGACUACGUCCCUCAGCCUCGUGGGAAUUCAGUCUGAGGAGGUUGCAGCUGGCUCUGGGCAGGACACACUUGGCAUGUCAGGCUGUUGGUAUAUAACACUCCUGGGGUCGCCCAACCACACGUCCAAGGCCAAUGGACUCCAGUUCAUAGAUGUGAGGUGUGUGCAGUUGUUGCUAGUGGAAUGUGCCGUCAGAUGUCAGUCCUGGGUGUCUAAGAUAGAGGAGCAAGUGAUGAGCUGGAAGUGCCAGUUACCCACUGUUAUGAAAGUAUGAGUUUUUUGUAAAAUUGAUUGUUUAUCCAGUUUAUGCAAAGAUCGUAAAGUUCCCAUAAAGGGUCUCUCAUUUCUCCCCUCGUAGCUGCCAUGUCAUUA
This is a long non-coding RNA of Rhincodon typus (whale shark), 2232 nucleotides long. RefSeq lists it as uncharacterized. The transcript has 3 exons. Lineage: Eukaryota; Metazoa; Chordata; Chondrichthyes; Orectolobiformes; Rhincodontidae. The record is from RefSeq and is a predicted model, not a curated record.